CCUACGGGAGGCAGCAGUGAGGAAUAUUGGACAAUGGCCGAGAGGCUGAUCCAGCCAUGCCGCGUGCGGGAGGACGGCCCUAUGGGUUGUAAACCGCUUUUGUCAGGGAGCAAUAAGGGUCACGUGUGGCCCGAUGAGAGUACCUGGCGAAUAAGCAUCGGCUAACUCCGUGCCAGCAGCCGCGGUAAU
This 189-nucleotide ribosomal RNA is filed under the name uncultured bacterium. RNAcentral describes it as "partial 16S ribosomal RNA". It matches the Rfam family "Bacterial small subunit ribosomal RNA", at positions 338 to 524 of the family's 1533-position model. The record is from RNAcentral.